ACCAUGACUCAUAUAAAUUGUUAAGAAGA
RNAcentral lists this small RNA (29 nucleotides) under Bombyx mori (domestic silkworm). RNAcentral's name for it is "ovarian small RNA-4389". Lineage: Eukaryota; Metazoa; Arthropoda; Insecta; Lepidoptera; Bombycidae. The record is from RNAcentral.